GUACGCACUACUUCAGUGGACAUCUUUUAUCUUUCCUGCUGCUGUGUGUAUAUGGAGGUGUUUGUGACGCUCGGAUGCUUCUCGUUUUUUCAUUUUGUAGCGGUGUGUGUGUGUGUGGGGGGGGGGGUCUCUCUCCUUCGCAUGAGUGAUAGACGCAGGAAAGACGCAUUUUCUUGGCGCUAAAUGAUCUCACGCCCUCCCCCACUCCUUCUCAGGUGGUGCGUAUGCGCAGGCCUCAGAUGUCUCUCCAGCGCGCACGAUCGGCGCACUUCUCGCAGGAGCGAAGACGCGUAGAUGCGCGAACAAGAGCGCGCAACUUCACCGUUGUGGAUUCGCUCUGCUGCCCUGCUUCUUUCUUGCUGCAACUUUUAUUAUCGGAGGACUUCCUUUACGGAGCGCAUCUAGUUUUCCAUCGACCACAAGCGCUCGCACUGACCCGCACACGCCGCUGACAGAUGCCGUCAAUCGCCACAAGAGAGUUUGCCCUCCAUCAACGUUGCACGCUUUCCUCGCUCUCUUUGUGCAGCAGAAACGGAAACGAAAAGGGGUGCGCGUGGUCUGAGAGUGUAACCACGAAAUGGGUGCGAUGAAGAGGCGGCGCGUGCAGUGCGUGGCUCCGCCGCUGUUCGUGCUGCGCUGUGCGAUUUGCGCUCCCUUUCUCCCGCCCCCUCUUUACUGUGUUCUUCGGCUCGACGCUGCUGAAAACGCUCGCCGCCCCUACUCUCCUCCCCUCCUGCCUCACGCUGUCCCUUCCCCGUCCACACGCUCGCCUCGCUGCCCACUCCGUGUCUGUGUGCUGCGUAG
This 804-nucleotide unclassified non-coding RNA is filed under the name Leishmania donovani. RNAcentral's name for it is "gene:unknown". The record is from RNAcentral. Lineage: Eukaryota; Euglenozoa; Kinetoplastea; Trypanosomatida; Trypanosomatidae.